AGUGAACGCUGGCGGUAGGCCUAACACAUGCAAGUCGAACGGCAGCACAGUAAGAGCUUGCUCUUACGGGUGGCGAGUGGCGGACGGGUGAGGAAUACAUCGGAAUCUACUUUUUCGUGGGGGAUAACGUAGGGAAACUUACGCUAAUACCGCAUACGACCUACGGGUGAAAGCAGGGGAUCUUCGGACCUUGCGCGAUUGAAUGAGCCGCUGUCGGGUUAGCUAGUUGGCGGGGUAAAAGCCCACCAAGGCGACGAUCCGUAGCUGGUCUGAGAGGAUGGUCAGCCACAGUGGAGCUGAGACACGGUCCAGACUCCUACGGGAGGCAGCAGUGGGGAAUAUUGGACAGUGGGCGCAAGCCUGAUCCAGCCAUACAGCGUGGGUGAAGAAGGCCUGCGGGUGGUAAAGCCCUUUUGUUGGGAAAGAAAAGCAGCAGGUUAAUACCCCGCUGUUCGGACGGUACCCAAAGAAUAAGCACCGGCUAACUUCGU
Molecule: ribosomal RNA, 491 nt
Filed under: uncultured bacterium
Lineage: Bacteria
Description: partial 16S ribosomal RNA
Rfam family: Bacterial small subunit ribosomal RNA
Source: RNAcentral